AAAUCAGGUAGGAGUACCCGCUGAACUUAAGCAUAUCAAUAAGCGGAGGAAAAGAAACCAACCGGGAUUGCCUUAGUAACGGCGAGUGAAGCGGCAAAAGCUCAAAUUUGAAAUCUGGUACCUUCGGUGCCCGAGUUGUAAUUUGGAGAGGGCAACUUUGGGGCCGUUCCUUGUCUAUGUUCCUUGGAACAGGACGUCAUAGAGGGUGAGAAUCCCGUGUGGCGAGGAGUGCGGUUCUUUGUAAAGUGCCUUCGAAGAGUCGAGUUGUUUGGGAAUGCAGCUCUAAGUGGGUGGUAAAUUCCAUCUAAAGCUAAAUAUUGGCGAGAGACCGAUAGCGAACAAGUACAGUGAUGGAA
Molecule: ribosomal RNA, 356 nt
Filed under: Leuconostoc lactis
Lineage: Bacteria; Bacillati; Bacillota; Bacilli; Lactobacillales; Lactobacillaceae
Description: partial 23S ribosomal RNA
Rfam family: Eukaryotic large subunit ribosomal RNA
Source: RNAcentral